RNAcentral lists this ribosomal RNA (497 nucleotides) under uncultured bacterium. RNAcentral describes it as "partial 16S ribosomal RNA". It matches the Rfam family "Bacterial small subunit ribosomal RNA", at positions 28 to 507 of the family's 1533-position model. The record is from RNAcentral.
GACGAACGCUGGCGGCGUGCCUAAUACAUGCAAGUUGAGCGAUGAAGAUUGGUGCUUGCACCAAUUUGAAGAGCAGCGAACGGGUGAGUAACGCGUGGGUAAUCUGCCUUUGAGCGUGGGACAACAUUUGGAAACGAAUGCUAAUACCGCAUAAUAACUUUAAACAUAAGUUUUAAGUUUGAAAGAUGCAAUUGCUUCACUCAAAGAUGAUCCCGCGUUGUAUUAGCUAGUUGGUGAGGUAAAGGCUCACCAAGGCGAUGAUACAUAGCCGACCUGAGAGGGGGAGCGGCCAAAAUGGGACUGAGACACGGCCCAAAAUCCUAACGGAGGCAGCAGGAGGGAAACUUCGGCAAAGGACGAAAGGCUGACCGAGCAACGCCGGGUGAGGGAAGAAGGGUUUCGGAUCGGAAAAAUCUGUUGGUAGAGAAGAACGUUGGUGAGAGUGGAAAGCUCAUCAAGUGACGGUAACUACCCAGAAAGGGACGGCUAACUACGUG